Molecule: small nuclear RNA, 189 nt
Organism: Sorex fumeus (smoky shrew)
Lineage: Eukaryota; Metazoa; Chordata; Mammalia; Eulipotyphla; Soricidae
Product: U2 spliceosomal RNA
Exons: 1
Source: RefSeq, a predicted model, not a curated record
AUUGCUUUUUGGCCUUUGGCUAAGAUCAAGUAUAGUAUCUGUUUUUAUCAGUUUAAUAAUUAAUAUGUCCUGUAUCCAUGGACAAUGUAUUAAUUGGAUUUUUGGAGCAGGGAGUUGGAAUAGAGCUUGCUCCAUCCACUCCACCCAUCAACCUGGUAUUGCAGUAUCUUUAGGAAUGGUGCACCUCCC